This 244-nucleotide long non-coding RNA is filed under the name Mytilus galloprovincialis (Mediterranean mussel). Lineage: Eukaryota; Metazoa; Mollusca; Bivalvia; Mytilida; Mytilidae. The record is from RNAcentral.
UUUUUUAUAUAUAUAUUUACUUACUGUCGGUUGACAAAUUUUUUAUCCAAUCUCGGAAUGCUGUUUGACCUUUUUGUGUAUAUUGAUGUCUUUUCAGUCCGCUUUUUACUCGUUUUUAAACAGUAACCCUGUUCUACAGAAAACCAAGGAAAAAUCAUUCAUGAGAUGCAUUAGGGACGGCAUCAAAAGUUCAAUGUAGGAUAAAAAAAACUUAAUUGAUAUAGUUUUUACUGAACCCCCCCCC